AGCUUCAACUCCAUUUGAGCUUUGGCCACAUGAAUUUUCUCCCUACAGUGAUUUGAAGUCAACGGGAUGACCACGACUUACUGAAAACAGCAUUUUGCCAAUGCUGAUGCUGUUGAAAAUCUCAUCUUUAAAGCUCUGUGGAAGUAAUUGGGCAGUAAAGCUGUUAUGAUCAGUAACUGUAACAUCAGAAUGCCUAGAAAUAUGGUCAGGAUGCAUACUUUUGCUUUGCAGUUGGAAUUGUAGCAUUCUUGAAAGAUUUCAUAAAGUCUGAAUAUUCAUUUCUGUUGGGAGAAGCUAAGGAUCUUCUGGUAGAGCAAAUUUUUCUCUUGUUUGGAGCACAGCAAAAUAGGACCUGGAAAAUCACAGAAUUAUAGCAUUUUAAUUUUUUAAAAAAUUGGUUUCUUCAUUUGUUUGUAUGGUUUUGUACAAAUAUUAGAGACUAAAUGUUUUAUUUCAGCUCUUUUGAUUUCCUUUAAAACCAUUGCCAACUUGAGCACAAGAUGAUAUAUGAAAUCAAACAUUCCUUUCUGAAAAUGUAAUACUAUGCCAUUUACCAAAUCAAGUACUUCCAGUUCUCAUUAGCCUUAGAAUAAAAUAUUCUGGGGUUUAGGCAAAAAUCAUCUAUCCUAUUAUGGAUAUGCCAUUUUCUGCAAAAUUAUAUUUCAACUAGUACCUGGAAUAUGGCUAACCUACCUGUCUUUGCCUUGAAAAUAAAAAAAAAAAAUAACCUUCAUUUUACCAUUUUGUCUUCCCAAAUUUGAACUAUAUAAAUAUGGUUUGUCUUGUUGAAAAGUAGUACUAUUUAACUAAAUUAGCAAAUAAUCAGAGCAAUAACAAACACAUAACUGUUUUCCCACUGGGUUUCUUACUGCCCUUCCAGCUACUCAGCCUUAUUUGUUCUUGGCAAUUCUGCAAUUAUGCAGCUUUAAGUCAAAGUUAUACAACACGCACCCGCUUCCAUCUCAUGUCUUGCUCCAGUAUGUCCCCAAUUUACACUUUUUCUUUCCAUUUACCAAGAAUAUUACACAUUUCCCACUGUAAAAAAAUGCCCAACUGACUGAAAGAAUAUGCUAAAAUAGCAGUGGGGCAAGAGAGAGGCCAAAGAAAAUGGAGUCAGUCCUACUGGAAUAUGAUAUGUAAUCUCUAACUUUUUAUAUUUUGUGAGGUUAGAAGGUUUCCCAUUGUAAUACAGUAACAUACAAUAUCUUGGAUACUUCUAUACCUUCAGUUUGACCAUUCACAAUAGAAUAAUUUUGACUGAGAUCUACAAAAUCUGACUGUC
Molecule: long non-coding RNA, 1282 nt
Organism: Empidonax traillii (willow flycatcher)
Lineage: Eukaryota; Metazoa; Chordata; Aves; Passeriformes; Tyrannidae
Exons: 3
Source: RefSeq, a predicted model, not a curated record